RNAcentral lists this small nuclear RNA (228 nucleotides) under Octodon degus (degu). Its description in RNAcentral is "7SK RNA (ENSODEG00000022360.1)". It matches the Rfam family "7SK RNA". Rfam says of the family: 7SK was discovered as an abundant small nuclear RNA in the mid-70s but a possible function has only recently been suggested. Two independent studies have found that 7SK RNA binds the CDK9/cyclin T complex (known as elongation factor P-TEFb). The record is from RNAcentral. Lineage: Eukaryota; Metazoa; Chordata; Mammalia; Rodentia; Octodontidae.
AAAUCCAAUAUCUAUGCUUUUGUUGCUCCUAAAGCUGUGCCAUGGGUCAAAGAGGAUGAUCACCUCUGACAGAGGAGGAACAUCCUCGGUUAAGGGUAGAUGAGUAGUUGCAUCCCCUGCUAGAACCUCCAAACAAGCUCCCAGUAUCCAUUCUUCAGUCCAAGGGGCUGGCACCAUUAGACACUACUUAUGAAACUCAGAUUUUGUUUUGAAACUUUCUCUUUCUUU